GCCUUUGGUUGNCCGAGUUGUAAUUUAGAGAAGUGUUACCCGCGCUGGACCGUGUACAAGUCUCCUGGAAAGGAGCAUCAUAGAGGGUGAUAAUCCCGUCUUUGACACGGACUCCCAGGGCUUUGUGGUACGCUCUCAAAGAGUCGAGUUGUUUGGGAAUGCAGCUCAAAAUGGGUGGUAAAUUCCAUCUAAAGCUAAAUAUUGGCGAGAGACCGAUAGCGAACAAGUACCGUGAGGGAAAGAUGAAAAGAACUUUGGAAAGAGAGUUAAACAGUACGUGAAAUUGCUGAAAGGGAAACGCUUGAAGUCAGUCGCGUUGGCUGGAAAUCAACCUUGCUCUUGCUUGGUGUAUUUUCUAGUCGACGGGUCAACAUCAGUUUUGACCGCUGGAUAAAGUGUAAGGGAAUGUGGCUCUUUCGGGAGUGUUAUAGCCCUUGCUCGUAUACAGCGGUUGGGACUGAGGAACUCAGCACGCCGCAAGGCAGGGCUUCGGCCACUUUCGUGCUUAGGAUGUUGGCAUAAUGGCUUUAAGCGAC
Molecule: ribosomal RNA, 536 nt
Filed under: Basidiomycota sp. KUC8721
Lineage: Eukaryota; Fungi; Basidiomycota
Description: LSU rRNA
Rfam family: Eukaryotic large subunit ribosomal RNA
Source: RNAcentral